Molecule: unclassified non-coding RNA, 390 nt
Filed under: soil metagenome
Description: partial contains 5.8S ribosomal RNA, internal transcribed spacer 2, and large subunit ribosomal RNA
Rfam family: 5.8S ribosomal RNA (bases 1-122)
Source: RNAcentral
GAUGAAGAACGUAGCGAAAUGCGAUACUUGGUGUGAAUUGCAGAAUCCCGUGAACCAUCGAGUCUUUGAACGCAAGUUGCGCCCGAAGCCACUAGGCCGAGGGCACGCCUGCUUGGGCGUCACACGCCGUUGCCCCCCCAUCUACUCCUUCGGGAUUGCGGGGGGCGGAUGAUGGCCUCCUGUGCGCCUAGCCGCGCGGUUGGCAUAAAUACCAAGUCCUCGGCGACGCACGCCACGACAAUCGGUGGUUGCGAAACCUCGGUUGCCCGUCGUGUGCGUUCGUCGCGCAUCGAGGGCUCGAAAAAAUGCUCGGCUCCGGCUGGGCUUUCAACGCGACCCCAGGUCAGGCGGGGUUACCCGCUGAAUUUAAGCAUAUCAAUAAGCGGAGGA